RNAcentral lists this ribosomal RNA (213 nucleotides) under uncultured fungus. RNAcentral's name for it is "partial small subunit ribosomal RNA". It matches the Rfam family "Eukaryotic small subunit ribosomal RNA", at positions 582 to 801 of the family's 1831-position model. Lineage: Eukaryota; Fungi. The record is from RNAcentral.
AUUCCAGCUCCAAUAGCGUAUAUUAAAGUUGUUGCAGUUAAAAAGCUCGUAGUUGAAUUUCGAGACCGGCUUACUGGUCGUGCUAUUGUACGUACUGGUAUAAUCGGUUUCUCCUUUCUGACGAACUAUAAUGCCAUUAGUUUGGUGUUAUAGGGAAUCAGGACUGUUACUUUGAAAAAAUUAGAGUGUUUAAAGCAGGCUCACGCUUGAAUA